This 472-nucleotide ribosomal RNA is filed under the name uncultured Streptococcus sp. RNAcentral's name for it is "bacterial SSU rRNA". It matches the Rfam family "Bacterial small subunit ribosomal RNA", at positions 907 to 1382 of the family's 1533-position model. The record is from RNAcentral. Lineage: Bacteria; Bacillati; Bacillota; Bacilli; Lactobacillales; Streptococcaceae.
GAAUUGACGGGGCCCGCACAAGCGGUGGAGCGUGUGGUUUAAUUCGAAGCAACGCGAAGAACCUUACCAGGUCUUGACAUCCCGAUGCUAUUUCUAGAGAUAGAAAGUUACUUCGGUACAUCGGUGACAGGUGGUGCAUGGUUGUCGUCAGCUCGUGUCGUGAGAUGUUGGGUUAAGUCCCGCAACGAGCGCAACCCCUAUUGUUAGUUGCCAUCAUUCAGUUGGGCACUCUAGCGAGACUGCCGGUAAUAAACCGGAGGAAGUGGGGAUGACGUCAAAUCAUCAUGCCCCUUAUGACCUGGGCUACACACGUGCUACAAUGGUUGGUACAACGAGUUGCGAGUCGGUGACGGCGAGCUAAUCUCUUAAAGCCAAUCUCAGUUCGGAUUGUAGGCUGCAACUCGCCUACAUGAAGUCGGAAUCGCUAGUAAUCGCGGAUCAGCACGCCGCGGUGAAUACGUUCCCGGGCCUU